UUGUUUACGUCCCCAUGUCAUGAAACGAGACGAAAAAAUGGGCGAAACAAAACAAAUUGUUGCUAUUUAUACUUAUAUUCCUGUGAUUUCAAAUACCAAAUGGAUCUUCGUAUCUUGUAUGCAUAGCUUAUUAGCUACUGUCAGCCAUCCCAACUAGUUGACUUCUAGCACUCAGUCACUUUCCAUCCAUUAGAUCUCCAUGCUGUCAAAAGCCUAAAACCCAUGUUUGAAGCACACAUAUAGUGGAAUAUAAAUGUGCGGGUAUAAGGUAUUUUCCCAUUACUGCUACCACACCAACCACACUACGUCAAAUGCCUUACUAAAUCAUCACUCAUAUGAUAAAGCAUCAGGAAAUUUACCCCAUCUGAGGAGUAAUGCAGUUGGUUGCUGUAAUUCGAUUAUUACAAGUUUUCAUCAUGAACAUUUCAGUGUGCUUCUUAUAAAAGAGCACGCAAG
Molecule: long non-coding RNA, 456 nt
Organism: Daphnia pulicaria
Lineage: Eukaryota; Metazoa; Arthropoda; Branchiopoda; Diplostraca; Daphniidae
Exons: 4
Source: RefSeq, a predicted model, not a curated record